RNAcentral lists this ribosomal RNA (379 nucleotides) under Triticum aestivum (bread wheat). Its description in RNAcentral is "partial small subunit ribosomal RNA". Lineage: Eukaryota; Viridiplantae; Streptophyta; Magnoliopsida; Poales; Poaceae. The record is from RNAcentral.
CUUUUUUUUAUGCCGUCGUUUGUCUGGUGCCCGCGAGCAGAGGAGAGGGAGAGCGGGGGCUUGAGGAGCGGCGGCGGCGGUGGACGUGGCCGGCGAAGACCGCUGGAGGCUGCGGCGCGUCGUGCGGGGGGCUCGAGGAGUGCCAGGCACGGAGGGAGGGGAGGCUGGUCUAAGAGGCGAGGUCAGGAGAUGGCGGGCGAACGUUGGGGUGGGGGCACCGAUCCCAAGGCCCGUCCCGAAGCGGCCGAGCAGAGGCCGCCGGGGUCAAUAAACCGAGUAGCAGCAUAGCGUUCAAAGACUGUAGCGACAUGUGGCAACUGCAGCGGCCUUUAGGCAGACGUGCAUGAGGUGACAGGCGGCCUUGAAACAGGCUGGACUC